UACGUAGGGUGCAAGCGUUAAUCGGAAUUACUGGGCGUAAAGCGUGCGCAGGCGGUUUUGUAAGUCUGUCGUGAAAUCCCCGGGCUUAACCUGGGAACUGCAUUGGUGACUGGCAGGCUUUGAGUGUGGCAGAGGGAGGUAGAAUUCCACGUGUAGCAGUGAAAUGCGUAGAGAUGUGGAGGAAUACCGAUGGCGAAGGCAGCCUCCUGGGCCAACGCUGACGCUCAUGCACGAAAGCGUGGGGAGCAAACAGG
Molecule: ribosomal RNA, 254 nt
Filed under: uncultured bacterium
Lineage: Bacteria
Description: partial 16S ribosomal RNA
Rfam family: Bacterial small subunit ribosomal RNA
Source: RNAcentral